This 563-nucleotide ribosomal RNA is filed under the name uncultured Chloroflexota bacterium. RNAcentral describes it as "bacterial SSU rRNA". It matches the Rfam family "Bacterial small subunit ribosomal RNA", at positions 338 to 916 of the family's 1533-position model. The record is from RNAcentral. Lineage: Bacteria; Bacillati; Chloroflexota.
CCUACGGGAGGCAGCAGCAAGGAAUCUUGCGCAAUGGGGGAAACCCUGACGCAGCAACGCCGCGUGAGUGAAGAAGGCUUUCGGGUUGUAAAGCUCUUUUAUUGGGGACGAGACAGGACGGUACCCAAUGAAUAAGCCUCGGCUAACUACGUGCCAGCAGCCGCGGUAAAACGUGGGAGGCGAGCGUUAUCCGGAAUUAUUGGGCGUAAAGGGCCCGCAGGCGGCACAUUAAGUCAGGUGUGAAAUCUCCCGGCUCAACUGGGAGGGGACACUUGAAACUGAUGAGCUUGAGGACAGCAGGGGGAAGCGGAACUCCCGGUGUAGCGGUGAUAUGCGUAGAUAUCGGGAGGAACACCAGUGGCGAAGGCGGCUUCCUGGGCUGUUUCUGACGCUGAGGGGCGAAAGCGUGGGGAGCAAACCGGAUUAGAUACCCGGGUAGUCCACGCCGUAAACGAUGGAUACUAGGUAUGGGGGGUAUCGACCCCUCCCGUGCCGAAGCUAACGCCAUAAGUAUCCCGCCUGGGGACUACGGCCGCAAGGCUAAAACUCAAAGGAAUUGACGG